Small nucleolar RNA from Pristis pectinata (smalltooth sawfish), 211 nucleotides. RefSeq annotates it as small nucleolar RNA U3. The transcript has a single exon. NCBI's taxonomy places the organism in Eukaryota, Metazoa, Chordata, Chondrichthyes, Rhinopristiformes, Pristidae. The record is from RefSeq and is a predicted model, not a curated record.
UUGUAUAUAGUUUGUCUUUUAUUAUACAUAACGUUUAUUUUGUUUAAAUCAAAGUUCUGUCUCAGCAGCCGUGAGGACGAACUGUGGCGUUGUUUUCCUGAGCACGAAGCGGUCGGCAAGCUUUGUUUUAUACAAUGAUUUGCGGACAUUGAUGACCGUUCCCUUCUCCCUCUGCGGGAGCUGUGGAGGGAGGAAACGCUGUCUGAGCGGU